GGUCCGUCCAAGCAGUGAGGCUGAUGUGUAGGCAAAUCCGCACAUCGUAAGGCUGGGCUGUGAUGGGGAGCGAAAAUUGCAGUAGCGAAGGUCAUGAGUUCAGGCUGCCAAGAAAAGCCUCUAGCCAGGUGAAGGUGCCCGUACCGCAAACCGACACAGGUAGUCGAGCAGAGUAUGCUAAGGCGCUCGGAAGAACUCUCGUUAGGGAACUCGGCAAAAUGACCCCGUAACUUCGGGAGAAGGGGUGCCUCGGUAGGGUGAAUAGCCCGAGGGGGCCGCAGUGAAAAGGCCCAAGCGACUGUUUAGCAAAAACACAGGUCUGUGCGAAGCCGUAAGGCGAAGUAUACGGGCUGACGCCUGCCCGGUGCUGGAAGGUUAAGGGGAGUGGUUAGCCGCAAGGCGAAGCUAUGAACCGAAGCCCCAGUAAACGGCGGCCGUAACUAUAACGGUCCUAAGGUAGCGAAAUUCCUUGUCAGGUAAAUUCUGACCCGCACGAAUGGCGUAACGACUUGGGCGCUGUCUCAACGAGAGAUCCGGUGAAAUUUUAAUACCUGUGAAGAUGCAGGUUACCCGCGACAAGACGGAAAGACCCCAUGGAGCUUUACUGCAGCUUGAUAUUGGACUUUGGUACGAUCUGUACAGGAUAGGUGGGAGCCUUGGAAACCGGAGCGCCAGCUUCGGUGGAGGCAUCGUUGGGAUACCACCCUGAUCGUAUCGGAGUUCUAACCUGGUACCGUAAUCCGGUACAGGGACCGUGUCAGGUGGGCAGUUUGACUGGGGCGGUCGCCUCCUAAAAUGUAACGGAGGCGCCCAAAGGUUCCCUCAGAAUGGUUGGAAAUCAUUCGUAGCGUGUAAAGGCAUAAGGGAGCUUGACUGCGAGACCUACAAGUCGAGCAGGGACGAAAGUCGGGCUUAGUGAUCCGGUGGUACCGAAUGGAAGGGCCAUCGCUCAACGGAUAAAAGCUACCCUGGGGAUAACAGGCUUAUCUCCCCCAAGAGUCCACAUCGACGGGGAGGUUUGGCACCUCGAUGUCGGCUCAUCGCAUCCUGGGGCUGAAGUAGGUCCCAAGGGUUGGGCUGUUCGCCCAUUAAAGCGGUACGCGAGCUGGGUUCAGAACGUCGUGAGACAGUUCGGUCCCUAUCUGUCGUGGGCGUAGGAAAUUUGCGAGGAGCUGUCCUUAGUACGAGAGGACCGGGAUGGACGCACCGCUGGUGUACCAGUUGUUCCGCCAGGAGCAUAGCUGGGUAGCCAAGUGCGGACGGGAUAAGCGCUGAAAGCAUCUAAGCGUGAAGCCCCCCUCAAGAUGAGAUUUCCCAGUAUGUAAGACCCCUUGAAGACGACGAGGUUGAUAGGUUCGAGGUGGAAGCGCAGCAAUGCGUGGAGCUGACGAAUACUAAUCGGUCGAGGGCUUAUCCA
This 1417-nucleotide ribosomal RNA is filed under the name metagenome. Its description in RNAcentral is "bacterial LSU rRNA". It matches the Rfam family "Bacterial large subunit ribosomal RNA", at positions 1505 to 2925 of the family's 2925-position model. The record is from RNAcentral.